GAUGAACGCUGGCGGCGUGCCUAAUACAUGCAAGUCGAGCGAACAGAUGAGGAGCCUGCUCCUCUGACGUUAGCGGCGGACGGGUGAGUAACACGUGGAUAACCUACCUAUAAGACUGGGAUAACUACGGGAAACCGGAGCUAAUACCGGAUAAUAUAUUGAACCGCAUGGUUCAAUAGUGAAAGACGGUUUUGCUGUCACUUAUAGAUGGAUCCGCGCCGCAUUAGCUAGUUGGUAAGGUAACGGCUUACCAAGGCAACGAUGCGUAGCCGACCUGAGAGGGUGAUCGGCCACACUGGAACUGAGACACGGUCCAGACUCCUACGGGAGGCAGCAGUAGGGAAUCUUCCGCAAUGGGCGAAAGCCUGACGGAGCAACGCCGCGUGAGUGAUGAAGGUCUUCGGAUCGUAAAACUCUGUUAUUAGGGAAGAACAAAUGUGUAAGUAACUAUGCACGUCUUGACGGUACCUAAUCAGAAAGCCACGGCUAACUACGUG
Molecule: ribosomal RNA, 497 nt
Filed under: uncultured bacterium
Lineage: Bacteria
Description: partial 16S ribosomal RNA
Rfam family: Bacterial small subunit ribosomal RNA
Source: RNAcentral